UCGAUUAGAUACCCCCGUAGUCCCAGCCGUAAACGAUGCUCGCUAGGUGUCAGGCAUGGCGCGACCGUGUCUGGUGCCGCAGGGAAGCCGUGAAGCGAGCCACCUGGGAAGUACGGCCGCAAGGCUGAAACUUAAAGGAAUUGGCGGGGGAGCACAACAACGGGUGGAGCCUGCGGUUUAAUUGGACUCAACGCCGGACAACUCACCGGGGACGACAGCAAUAUGUAGGUCAGGCUGAAGACCUUGCCUGAAUCGCUGAGAGGAGGUGCAUGGCA
RNAcentral lists this ribosomal RNA (275 nucleotides) under uncultured Methanosarcina sp. RNAcentral's name for it is "partial 16S ribosomal RNA". It matches the Rfam family "Archaeal small subunit ribosomal RNA", at positions 725 to 999 of the family's 1478-position model. Lineage: Archaea; Methanobacteriati; Methanobacteriota; Methanomicrobia; Methanosarcinales; Methanosarcinaceae. The record is from RNAcentral.